Fragaria vesca subsp. vesca is the source of this 1398-nucleotide RNA transcript. RefSeq lists it as uncharacterized. The transcript is spliced from 2 exons. Lineage: Eukaryota; Viridiplantae; Streptophyta; Magnoliopsida; Rosales; Rosaceae. The record is from RefSeq and is a predicted model, not a curated record.
GCAUACAAUACAAUGUUCCCAAUCCAAGCCACAACUGUAUCAUCAAAAAUCCUUUAUAUAUUUACACUGGGUUUCCAAGUAAUGAAAAAAUAUGCGUUCUUUGUACCAAAGAACUAAAUAAAAUUGCAUCCAACUACAUACUUAUUGGUUGAAGCAGAACUGUUUUCAGCUACAGCCACCCAUUUGGCUUUUUCUUUGAUCUCUAUCUUUUCCCAACACAACGUGCAUUGACCAUUUGGAUAUUGUUCUUGCUAGCUGUUCAUUUGGAGCCGCCAGACUUGGUUUUAUCUUGUUCAACAUCAUCAUCCACAUCGAUAGUUCUGACCUUGAAUCGCUCCAGCCUCAUUUCCGACCCGUCUCUUUUGAAUUCACGCGGUGAGCCAAUGCUCAGGCUUCUUUGCAUGGUCCGAACCCUGGUGCUCUGAUCCGAUUUGACUUGAGAUAAAACCAAAUUCCAUUUCUUUGGCAUCUCGGCCAGAAACUUAUCAGGACUCCCCGGAAAUAUUUUCUUGAACAGCUCGAGCCUUCGGAAGUAGAGCUCCCUGAAGAACUCUACCAAGGCCAGGAACCUUGGAUCAACUGACUUACCAACGUUUGAUCGGAAUCUGUAGUAGUUUCCACCCACGUCGCUGUAGUUUCUUCGAAGCAGACCGCUUUCUAGUUGUGACAUAUCAUUAAUCUUGGUGCCCAGAAUUGAUGCGCCGGAGUUUGAUGGCUGAUCGGCUUCUGUAGCUUCUACUUCUGGAUACCCUUCUGGCCUCUCCAUGGAUAUUUAUGAUGAUAUGUAGCUAGUAUAUAUAAAUUCUUGAUAUUCAGGAGAUGGAGAGAAUCUGUGUAAGGAUGAGACUGACGAGGUUGCCGGAGAAUAGCAAAUCUGAUCAACAAAAUUGAAUUGUUCACGUUAUGGUUUUAGAGGAGGGGACUUAUCCAACCUCUAUAUAUAUAGGUGUUUGUAAUCUGGAAACCCUAGCCUUCAUGUUGACUGGUAUGCCAUGACUUUUUCAUGACUAACAAGAAGUGGGUCACUUUGAAGAUUGGAACUUUUCUUAGAAUUACAAAGCCAUCCUGAUCAGACUAGUCAUUGGCAUGGAUUACUUUGGCCCUACGUAUUGGUGUUGCUGAUGAUGAAGCUUCUAAGAACCUUGCUUUGCAGUCAGCUAGCUUUCAUUCCAAAUGAAGAACGUUCCUGCUGCCAGUUGCUUCUGAUCAAUCAUAUAUAAUUUGAGGCUUCUAAGAACCAUGGAAUUCAUUUCUUACUGCCAGUUGCUCUUCGAUCAUCAUAUUAUUAUUUUAGCCUUUCGUGUCAAGUUUUAUUUAUUAUAUAUAUUUGGUUGCUGGGAUAUAUCACAUAUGUAUGAAGGAAUGUAUUUAUGUAAAUGUCAAUACGUUUUCAAAUUC